AACAAGCUAAGCAUAUAACAUUUAUGAGCUAACCAAGGUUAUUAUGCCAUUUGUGACCUAACUAAGCUAAUUAUGUCAUAAAUGAAUUAAAUAAGGUAAUUAUGUCAUUUUGGAGGAUAAUUAGCUAAGAAUAAGAAUAAGAAUAAGAAUAAGAAGAAGAAGCACAUGAUGAAGAAGAAGAUGAAGAAGAGGAAGAAGAAGAAGAAGAAGAAGAAGAUGAUGAAGAAGAAGAAGAAGAAGAAGAAGAAGAUGAUGGUGAUGAUGAUGAAGAAGAUGUAGAAGAAGUAGUGGUAGAAGAAGAAGAACAACAACAAGAAGAAGAAGAAUAAGAAUAAGAAUAAGAAUAAGAAGAAGAAGGAGAAGACUAGAAGAAGAAGAAGAAGAAGAAGAAGAAUAAGGAGAAGACUAGAAGAAGAAUAAGAAUAGGAAGAAGACGACGACGAAGAAGAAGAAGAAGAAUAAGAAUAAUAAGAAGA
RNAcentral lists this long non-coding RNA (476 nucleotides) under Hordeum vulgare. RNAcentral describes it as "long non-coding RNA (HVUL_LNC001316)". Lineage: Eukaryota; Viridiplantae; Streptophyta; Magnoliopsida; Poales; Poaceae. The record is from RNAcentral.